RNAcentral lists this ribosomal RNA (374 nucleotides) under uncultured organism. Its description in RNAcentral is "partial 16S ribosomal RNA". It matches the Rfam family "Bacterial small subunit ribosomal RNA", at positions 527 to 897 of the family's 1533-position model. The record is from RNAcentral.
GUAGGUGGCAAGCGUUGUCCGGAAUUAUUGGGCGUAAAGCGCGCGCAGGCGGUCCUUUAAGUCUGAUGUGAAAGCCCACGGGCUCAACCGUGGAGGGUCACUGGAAACUGGGGGACUUGAGUACAGAAGAGGAAAGCGGAAUUCCAAGUGUAGCGGUGAAAUGCGUAGAGAUUUGGAGGAACACCAGUGGCGAAGGCGGCUUUCUGGUCUGUAACUGACGCUGAGGCGCGAAAGCGUGGGGAGCAAACAGGAUUAGAUACCCUGGUAGUCCACGCCGUAAACGAUGAGUGCUAAGUGUUAGGGGGUUUCCGCCCCUUAGUGCUGCAGCUAACGCAUUAAGCACUCCGCCUGGGGAGUACGGCCGCAAAGGCUGA